RNAcentral lists this long non-coding RNA (730 nucleotides) under Solanum tuberosum (potato). RNAcentral describes it as "long non-coding RNA (STUB_LNC002200)". The record is from RNAcentral. Lineage: Eukaryota; Viridiplantae; Streptophyta; Magnoliopsida; Solanales; Solanaceae.
CGCAAUCACCACAGAGCAGCCUACAGAUACUACCAACGCAGAGGAAUCAGAAACAGUUGAGGUUCUGCAGGAGAAAAUGCAAAAUGCAGUUGACAAAGAUAUUGAAAUCCUUGAUUCAGGAAAACCAGUAGAAAAAUCGGUGGAACCUCAACUAUCCACUGGUACCAAUGACGAAGCUCGAGAGUACCAUAUUCAAGAUAAGCAGAAAAUUGGGGAGGAAAAUAAGGAGGUGCAAGGUGAGGAAUUGCCAGUUCGUGAUGAUGCUGUCGUCUCUGAACCUAAUAAUGAAGGAAAAGAGCGUAAUGUGGUGGUUGAGCAGCGGCUUGUGGAGGAGAGCUUUGAGAUGCAAGGGAACGAACCAGUGGCUGCUGAACCAGAAACUGCCGAUAAUGCUGCACAUGUGAUCGAGGAACCAGUGGAUGGAACUAAAGCUACGGCUGCUCCAGCAUCAGAAGCUGUAACUACCGAGACAGACCUGUCAAGGGAGAAAGAGCUUGGUGUAGCAGAUGACCACAACACACAUCGAUCUUGUGAUGCCGUGGAAGGUAAUUCUGUUGAUACUUCCCAUUCUUUUGGUUCUUCUACGCCUAUUGAAGUACAAGUUAUGGAUGCAAACAAGCUUAAAGAAUGGAUGAAAGUGGACAUGUCCCCAUCGUCACCUACUGCCAGCCAAGAAUCCUGUGAUAGUGAUGCGCUGUCUGAGAGCGAUAAAAAACUUAUUGAGGAGAAU